This 266-nucleotide long non-coding RNA is filed under the name Mytilus galloprovincialis (Mediterranean mussel). Lineage: Eukaryota; Metazoa; Mollusca; Bivalvia; Mytilida; Mytilidae. The record is from RNAcentral.
GUCCGUCCGUCCGUCCGUCCGUCCGUCUGUUCGUUCGUUCGUCCGUUCGUCCGUCUGUCCCAUGUCAGGUUAAAGUUUUUGGUCGAGGUAGUUUUUGAUGAAGUUGAAGUCCAAUCAACUUGAAACUUAGUAUAUAUGUUCUGUAUGAUAUGAUCUUUCUAAUUUUAAUUCCAAAUUAGAGAUUAAACCCCAUUUUCACGGUCCACUGAACAUAGAAAAUGAUAGUGCGGAUGGGGCAUCCGUGUACUGGGGACACAUUCUUGUUU